CAGGUGAUUUACGAGCGGAGUUUACGUAGAUGCAUUCUAUCCCUAGUAGCAGGUGAAACCAUUGCAGACCACGUACUCGUUACGCUCGUCAGCAUCGAAAUUUAUGCAGCUGUGAGAAACGCCAAUACCACAACCAGUAUAGUAAUCCGUCAGUACACAAUACAAUUGAGGAUGGAAUUGUUGUGACAAUUGGUUUUUUCUAUCAAAGUCAGAUUGUGAAAAUAUGAGGUACAUACAAAAAUGGAAAUAUAUCAAAAAAUGGUAGGUCCAGUGGUUGAGUGACAGAAUAUAUAGAUUGUGG
Chelonus insularis is the source of this 301-nucleotide long non-coding RNA. RefSeq lists it as uncharacterized. The record is from RefSeq and is a predicted model, not a curated record. Lineage: Eukaryota; Metazoa; Arthropoda; Insecta; Hymenoptera; Braconidae. The transcript has 3 exons.